UUGAUGACAGUUAAAUUCACCAGUCCAGUAAUAGCGCACAUAAACACAAGCCAAUCAUUCAGUAAUAUCCCUCCCUUCCCUCCUUUAGCUGUCUUUAUUGCAGCCCAUCCUAGCCGUAGCCAUCGGCCUUGUCCUGGCUUUGCUGUUUUGGUGCUUGGGCCCAUUGUGGUAGAAAGGGAAAAUGGAUCAGGUGGAUGCCCGUCGCUGCUGUGACCAUUGCCGUGACGGGGUAUUUGCUUUCAAAGACCUCAAAAUGAACAUGAUGAACCAGUAACAAACACACGCACCAUGACAUGCAUACCAAGUAUAUGUUCCUCAGACUUGUUGACAUUUGUAUCCUUGUAGUCUGUGUGGUGUUAGUUUGAGUAACGAGUGUUUAAAUGCAACUUCUUACUCAAGUAUUGAAGGCCUUAGAAUAAUAAUGUCACAACAUUCUCUCAUUUGCACCAUAUGUAAUAGAUUUUUAUUUAUUUAUUGAGAUUCUGUAUGCAUUGCAUUUUGAAGUAUCUGACUAAUAACAGGUAUUUUAUUGAACACUGUUGCUUUGCCAAACAAACACUUAGUGAAUUGCCUUAUUUAACAUAACCUUAGAUAAACAAAUGUUUAUACCUCCCUAAACAAACUCUUCCAUGAGAACCGAUUCAGAACUGCAAAGCACACUGUAAUAACCAUCGAAGUUCGUUAAGUUUUAACUUGAUCGUAUGUUUUGCGGCUUAAAGGCCUAAAUCUGCUAAUAAUGUGUUUGUGUCUUUGCACCUUAUACGAAGCCAUUAGUGAUUAGUCUAUGCACUGUACUUUAUUGUGAUAAGGAUUUGACAUAUUAAUGAUGAUAAUGAUAAUCACUGUUUACCUAGGACAUUAGAGUGCUAAUGUGUCCGAAAGAGACCUAUAAUAGAGUGUUUAUGAUUGAUCAUGUUUAUUACUUGUACAGAGAUUUAAGGAAAACCUACCUGAUCUAACAAACAUGAUAAUUGCAAUAAAUAAGCAAGAGUGAAGUUCAA
Long non-coding RNA from Sinocyclocheilus grahami, 1001 nucleotides. RefSeq lists it as uncharacterized. The record is from RefSeq and is a predicted model, not a curated record. NCBI's taxonomy places the organism in Eukaryota, Metazoa, Chordata, Actinopteri, Cypriniformes, Cyprinidae. The transcript is spliced from 2 exons.